Molecule: non-coding RNA, 120 nt
Organism: Pelobates cultripes (western spadefoot toad)
Lineage: Eukaryota; Metazoa; Chordata; Amphibia; Anura; Pelobatidae
Source: the annotation of a GenBank genome assembly
CAGACCGCAGUAGAGGAGUUUCUGUUCCCCUACACGGUCUGACAGGAAGCAGUCUUGUGUUCUCUGUGAACACUUCCUGUCAGACCGGGUAGGGGAACAGAAGCUCCUCUACCGCGUUCU